GUGAAACUAAACUGUCGAUUUUUUCAAACUAACAGAAGCUUGAGUUUCUUAAUCCCCUACCACCCAAAGAGAGGGCAAAGGUAAUUAAUAUUCAAGUAUGAAUGUAUUUAGUGAUUUUGAUGGCUUGAUUCUGACUCUAUCAGUGUGAUUUACCAAUUGGAAAUUUUAUUGUCCUAAUACUUCAAUCUCCGUGGCUGAUCAAUAACUAUUAUUCUGAUGUGUAAAAG
RNAcentral lists this unclassified non-coding RNA (227 nucleotides) under Hevea brasiliensis (rubber tree). Lineage: Eukaryota; Viridiplantae; Streptophyta; Magnoliopsida; Malpighiales; Euphorbiaceae. The record is from RNAcentral.